This 254-nucleotide unclassified non-coding RNA is filed under the name uncultured fungus. Its description in RNAcentral is "sequence contains ITS1, 5.8S rRNA gene". The stretch from base 206 to 254 matches the Rfam family "5.8S ribosomal RNA", at positions 1 to 49 of the family's 154-position model. Lineage: Eukaryota; Fungi. The record is from RNAcentral.
UCUCCGUUGGUGAACCAGCGGAGGGAUCAUUGCUGGAACGCGCUUCGGCGCACCCAGAAACCCUUUGUGAACUUAUACCUAUUGUUGCCUCGGCGCAGGCCGGCCUCUUCACUGAGGCCCCCUGGAGACAGGGAGCAGCCCGCCGGCGGCCAAGUUAACUCUUGUUUUUACACUGAAACUCUGAGAAAAAACACAAAUGAAUCAAAACUUUCAACAACGGAUCUCUUGGUUCUGGCAUCGAUGAAGAACGCAGC